RNAcentral lists this ribosomal RNA (253 nucleotides) under uncultured bacterium. RNAcentral describes it as "partial 16S ribosomal RNA". It matches the Rfam family "Bacterial small subunit ribosomal RNA", at positions 524 to 776 of the family's 1533-position model. The record is from RNAcentral.
UACGUAGGUGGCAAACGUUGUCCGGAUUCACUGGGCGUAAAGCGCGCGCAGGCGGAUUGGUCAGUCUGGGGUGAAAUCUCUCGGCUCAACUGAGAGAGGUCCCUGGAUACUGCCAGUCUUGAGGGGCUCAGAGGAGAGUGGAAUUCCGCGUGUAGUGGUGGAAUGCGUAGAUACGCGGAGGAACACCAGUGGCGAAAGCGGCUCUCUGGGGGCCACCUGACGCUGAGGCGCGAAAGCUAGGGGAGCAAACGGG